AAUCAGGUGGCCGAGUGCUUAAGGCGUUGGACUGCUAAUCCAAUGGGCUCUGCCCGCGUGAGUUCGAAUCUCAUCCUGAUCG
RNAcentral lists this transfer RNA (82 nucleotides) under Pristionchus pacificus. RNAcentral describes it as "tRNA-Ser (GCT) (tRNA-Ser-GCT-5-1)". It matches the Rfam family "tRNA". Rfam says of the family: Transfer RNA (tRNA) molecules are approximately 80 nucleotides in length. Their secondary structure includes four short double-helical elements and three loops (D, anti-codon, and T loops). Further hydrogen bonds mediate the characteristic L-shaped molecular structure. tRNAs have two regions of fundamental functional importance: the anti-codon, which is responsible for specific mRNA codon recognition, and the 3' end, to which the tRNAs corresponding amino acid is attached (by aminoacyl-tRNA synthetases). tRNAs cope with the degeneracy of the genetic code in two manners: having more than one tRNA (with a specific anti-codon) for a particular amino acid; and 'wobble' base-pairing, i.e. permitting non-standard base-pairing at the 3rd anti-codon position. The record is from Rfam by way of RNAcentral. Lineage: Eukaryota; Metazoa; Nematoda; Chromadorea; Rhabditida; Neodiplogasteridae.